GGGGCCGUAGGGUAGCUUGGUCCAUCCUCCCAGCUAUUGAUGCUGGAGACCCGAGUUCAAAUCUCGGCGGCCCCA
RNAcentral lists this transfer RNA (75 nucleotides) under Methanobacterium paludis. Its description in RNAcentral is "tRNA-Gln (TTG) (tRNA-Gln-TTG-1-1)". It matches the Rfam family "tRNA". Rfam says of the family: Transfer RNA (tRNA) molecules are approximately 80 nucleotides in length. Their secondary structure includes four short double-helical elements and three loops (D, anti-codon, and T loops). Further hydrogen bonds mediate the characteristic L-shaped molecular structure. tRNAs have two regions of fundamental functional importance: the anti-codon, which is responsible for specific mRNA codon recognition, and the 3' end, to which the tRNAs corresponding amino acid is attached (by aminoacyl-tRNA synthetases). tRNAs cope with the degeneracy of the genetic code in two manners: having more than one tRNA (with a specific anti-codon) for a particular amino acid; and 'wobble' base-pairing, i.e. permitting non-standard base-pairing at the 3rd anti-codon position. Lineage: Archaea; Methanobacteriati; Methanobacteriota; Methanobacteria; Methanobacteriales; Methanobacteriaceae. The record is from RNAcentral. RNAcentral also lists the same sequence under 1 other name.